This 253-nucleotide ribosomal RNA is filed under the name uncultured bacterium. Its description in RNAcentral is "partial 16S ribosomal RNA". It matches the Rfam family "Bacterial small subunit ribosomal RNA", at positions 524 to 776 of the family's 1533-position model. The record is from RNAcentral.
UACGUAGGGCGCAAGCGUUGUCCGGAAUUAUUGGGCGUAAAGAGCUCGUAGGCGGUUUGUCGCGUCUGCCGUGAAAGUCCGGGGCUCAACUCCGGAUCUGCGGUGGGUACGGGCAGACUAGAGUGAUGUAGGGGAGACUGGAAUUCCUGGUGUAGCGGUGGAAUGCGCAGAUAUCAGGAGGAACACCGAUGGCGAAGGCAGGUCUCUGGGCCAUUACUGACACUGAGGCGCGAAAGCGUGGGGAGCAAACAGG